RNAcentral lists this ribosomal RNA (481 nucleotides) under Diplocentrus silanesi. Its description in RNAcentral is "partial 16S ribosomal RNA". It matches the Rfam family "Archaeal large subunit ribosomal RNA", at positions 1923 to 2669 of the family's 2987-position model. Lineage: Eukaryota; Metazoa; Arthropoda; Arachnida; Scorpiones; Diplocentridae. The record is from RNAcentral.
GGUCUACAGAGUUCAUUGUAGAUCAGACCUGCUCAAUGCAUUGUAAAUAGCCGCGGUACUCUGACCGUGCGAAGGUAGCAUAAUAAUUAGCCCUUUAAUUGGGGGCUGGAAUGAACGGUUUAACUGGGUAGAGCUGUCUCGUAAUUAUACCUUUAAUUUUACUUACCAGUAAAAAGGCUGGUAUUACAAUAAAGGACAAGAAGACCCUAUCGAGCUUCACAGGAGAACUCUUCACAUCCGAGGGAGAAAUAUCCUGUUGGACUGGGGCAGUAAAAGAUAUUUAUCUUUCAGAUACUAUGGGCUAUAACCCUAGCCAAAUCUAGAAUUUCUAAAAGGAAAAUAAGUUACCGUAGGGAUAACAGCGUAAUUUUACUAGAGAGAACGUAUUGACAGUAAAGUUUGCGACCUCGAUGUUGGAUUAAGGCACCUUUCUCAUGUAGCAGUAAGAAGAGGUAGUCUGUUCGACUAUUAAACCCUUCCA